GUGGGGAAUUUUGGACAAUGGGCGCAAGCCUGAUCCAGCAAUGCCGCGUGCAGGAAGAAGGCCUUCGGGUUGUAAACUGCUUUUGUACGGAACGAAACGGUCCUGGUUAAUACCCGGGGCUAAUGACGGUACCGUAAGAAUAAGCACCGGCUAACUACGUGCCAGCAGCCGCGGUAAUACGUAGGGUGCAAGCGUUAAUCGGAAUUACUGGGCGUAACGCGUGCGCAGGCGGUGCUGUAAGACAGGCGUGAAAUCCCCGGGCUUAACCUGGGAAUUGCGCUUGUGACUGCAGUGCUGGAGUGCGGCAGAGGGGGAUGGAAUUCCGCGUGUAGCAGUGAAAUGCGUAGAUAUGCGGAGGAACACCGAUGGCGAAGGCAAUCCCCUGGGCCUGCACUGACGCUCAUGCACGAAAGCGUGGGGAACAAACAGGAUUAGAAACCCGAGUAGUCC
This 450-nucleotide ribosomal RNA is filed under the name uncultured bacterium. RNAcentral's name for it is "partial 16S ribosomal RNA". It matches the Rfam family "Bacterial small subunit ribosomal RNA", at positions 354 to 796 of the family's 1533-position model. The record is from RNAcentral.